UACGGAAGGCAGCAGUGGGGAAUAUUGCACAAUGGGCGCAAGCCUGAUGCAGCCAUGCCGCGUGUAUGAAGAAGGCUUUCGGGUUGUAAAGUACUUUCAGUCGUGAGGAAGGUGUUAAGGUUAAUAACCUUAGCAAUUGACGUUAGCGACAGAAGAAGCACCGGCUAACUCCGUGCCAGCAGCCGCGGUAAUACGGAGGGUGCGAGCGUUAAUCGGAAUUACUGGGCGUAAAGGGCACGCAGGCGGUUAAUUAAGUUGGAUGUGAAAUCCCCGGGCUUAACCUGGGAAUGGCAUUCAAGACUGGUUAGCUAGAGUCUUGUAGAGGGGGUAGAAUUCCAUGUGUAGCGGUGAAAUGCGUAGAGAUGUGGAGGAAUACCGGUGGCGAAGGCGGCCCCUGGGACAAAGACUGACGCUCAUGUGCGAAAGCGUGGGGAGCAAACAGGGAUUAGAUACC
Molecule: ribosomal RNA, 454 nt
Filed under: uncultured bacterium
Lineage: Bacteria
Description: bacterial SSU rRNA
Rfam family: Bacterial small subunit ribosomal RNA
Source: RNAcentral